Molecule: transfer RNA, 66 nt
Filed under: Trigonopterus sp. 2 AH-2016
Lineage: Eukaryota; Metazoa; Arthropoda; Insecta; Coleoptera; Curculionidae
Description: tRNA-Trp
Source: RNAcentral
AAGAAUUUAAGUUAAAGAAAAACUAUUGACCUUCAAAGUCAAAAUUAGAAAUUACUCUAAUUCUUA